Molecule: ribosomal RNA, 553 nt
Filed under: uncultured bacterium
Lineage: Bacteria
Description: bacterial SSU rRNA
Rfam family: Bacterial small subunit ribosomal RNA
Source: RNAcentral
UCGGGAAUUUUGCGCAAUGGGGGAAACCCUGACGCAGCGACGCCGCGUGCGUGAUGAAGCCCUUCGGGGUGUAAAGCGCUUUUGUCUCGAACGAACCUCCUCCGGUCGAACAGGCCGGGGGACUGACGGUACGAGAUGAAUAAGCCUCGGCUAACUCCGUGCCAGCAGCCGCGGUAAGACGGGGGAGGCAAGCGUUGUCCGGAAUUACUGGGUGUAAAGGGCAGGCAGGCGGACUCGCCAGUCCAGGGUGAAAUCCAUCGGCUCAACCGGUCGGACGGCCCCGGAUACUGCGAGCCUUGAGUCAAGCAGGGGAGAGGGGAAUUCCUGGUGUAGCGGUGAAAUGCGUAGAUAUCAGGAGGAACACCGGUGGCGAAGGCGCCUCUCUGGGCUUGCACUGACGCUCAUACUGCGAAAGCUGGGGGAGCAAACAGGAUUAGAUACCCUGGUAGUCCCAGCCCUAAACGAUGGAUGCUAGGUGUUGGAGGUAUUGACCCCUCCAGUGCCGCAGCGAACGCAUUAAGCAUCCCACCUGGGGAGUACGGUCGCAAGGCUG